AAGCAUAUACACCUUACUCAUAUUCUUGACAAGUCAAAAUUCAUGACCUAUGUAAAGGAACUUCAAGAAUAAAGAGUUUGAUCUGGUGUUGUUGAUGGCUUACAACUGUGGAGGAGUCUGUCCAUGUGGUGUUUGAUGAAAUCAUUCAUAGUGAUCAAAGUUCUACAAAUGUUUAUGCAAAAGAAGAUGAGCAGAACAUCACCUUGGAGAAGCUGGAAUCCUGUCCAUAAAAACAACCGAUUGAUUCUGCGAAACAACCGGUUGAAAUUUUUCAACAGGAAGAGUUGCCAAAGGAAUGGAGAAUUCCAAGGGAUCUUUCAGUGGAGAACAUCAUUGGAUGGAAAUGGGUUUUCCGAAACAAGUUGGAUGAAUCUGGAGUAAUUACAAAGAACAAGGAAAGGCUUGUGGUUAAAGGUUAUAAUCAAGAAGAAGGCAUAGAUUAUGGUGAAACCUUUGCUUCAGUUGCAAGAUUAGAAACUUCUAUGUUGAACAACCACCGGGCUUUGAAGAUCAUCAACAUCCUAACCAUGUAUACAAGCUGAAAAAUGCCUUGUAUAGGCUUAAACAAGCUCCAAGGCAGUGUGGUAUGAGAGGCUUAGUAACUUGUAUAUGUUCAUCCUUUGUAAAGUAAGUUGUAUAUGUUCAUCCUAUGCUUUUGGCUUCAUAAGAUCAAAUGAGAUUCUAAACAUGCUUGAGGUAAUGCAAAGGUAUGAAUGUAUUUCAUUAUGCAUUUCCCAUGACUUUGAAAGAUGAUUUGCUUUGAAAUAUAACAUUUUUUUCGCUGUCUCAGAAAAACAACCGAUUGUGUUACCUCUGGCACAUUUGAAUAAAGUUGUUAUGAUUUCUUAUGCAUGAUUACAACUGUUUAUUUUCUUUCAUAACCCAUUAUGAGUCAAAUAUGCAUUCUUUGUGCCUCUGAAUUAGAUCAUAAAGAGAUGUAUUCUUUGUUUUCCUUGAAAUUCAAAGCUUUUUAUGAAUGGCAACCACAUUGGUGGUCAUGGGGUUGAUGAAUAUUUGCAAAUGUAUCUUUUGGAAUGUCUGGAAGAUAGGGGAGAAAUUGUGGUCUCCUUGUUGAAAUUUCUGGGGUCUAUGGUACUUUGAUUCUGCUGCUGUCAUAGCUCUGAUAAACCAUAGAUUUUGCUGCAAUUCUGAUAUGGUAUCAAAGAUUUAUUGCUGAAAUGGUGUUCCUACAACACACAGGUUUUCUGGUUUAUCAUGUUGCUGCUAUAUGCUGGUUUUCAAUGCUGGAAAUUCUGCUGUUUGUAUCCCUUCUUUCAUUCUAUUUGAGAAGACAAAUAGGGGGAGAAUGGUGUGGUUUUAUGUGUUGUGUUGCUGCUGCUACACUAUGGUGUUAUCUGGUUUUAUCAUGGUUUAAAUUUUGUUGUCGUUAUGCUCUUAUUCACCAUAGUUCUGCUGCACACAAGUCUCUUUUUGGCACUGUUUUUAUGGUUAUUUGACUUAUUUUUCUACUUAAAGACUUAUGCAGAAAACUGGUUUUGUGUGCCUUGGUAUCCUGUUGGUAUACUUGCUUUGUAUAUGCACAAAUUCUGUUUCGCAGGACCUUUCAAGUUCAAAAACAACAACACAAACAAACAAGGGAUUUGUCUUCAUCAAAUAGAGGGAGAUUGUUGAACAAGAUGCUUUGAUGUCUCCAAAUCCAAGAGGAAAGCUUGAAGACCUUGCUGCUGGGUGUGUGUAUGUUGUCUAGUUAUUUGAAACUUGUUAAUUAACUCCUUAAGAUGAUCCAAGUUCAUUUCUGUUUUACCUUAGCAGUUUUUGAAAAACUUGGUGGACUUUGCUGUCAAACCAAAACAAUCGAUUGUUUCGACAAAACAACCGAUUGUUUUCCUGAAAACCUUAACAGAAUUUUGUUAAGUGGUUUUAAUAUGUUUUAAAUGAUCCUAACUAACUUGGCUCCUUUAUUAAAUGCUUUUGACCACUUGGUUGGUCUAUAUAAAGGUGGUUUUACGCUCCUAAUCUUGGAGUAACAGAAAGAGUUUAUCAAAACAGUUUUUCCAAGAUUUGAAAGAGCUUUGGAUCAUUCUUAAGUGUGUGAAAUAGGAUUGGGUUGUAAUUCUGAACUUUAAGCUUUGUAAUACCCAGGUGUAUUCUAUUCUCUUCUUCCUUGAUUACUGUAUUUCUGUAGUUGUGUUGCCAAGGAGUGUUGUACGUUCUUGAGGUGUUCAAGAUCAACAUUCUUGGUGUGGUUUGCCAAAGGUAGUGUGUUUCUUGAGGGGUUCAAGGUGACUACUUUUUUGUGUGUGGUGUGUGUAAUCUGGUUUUGAUUGCAUAGUGGAAUACCCAAUGGUUUCUAGGGACUGGAUGUAGCUCUUGGUGUAAGAGUGAACCAGCAUAAAUUGCUUACGUGCUUAUCUUUUACCCUUAACUCUUUAAAUUUUGUUUUUAAGUUGUUUUUAUAAAUUGCUGAUAAAAACAGCCGAUUGUUUUUCUAAUAUCAUCUUAAAACAGUUUUGGGUAUUUGUUUCCUUGAUUCUUUUCUCUGUAAUUCAGCAUUGAUUUUCAUUAUACCUUCAAAGUUUGCGAAAAUCCCUCUUAAACAAUUCACCCCCCUCCCCCCUCUCGUUUAAGGCCAUAUAUUCUAACACCCUCAAAAUCAAACAGAACACAACAAAGCAAACCAGGGAUUUGUCUUAAUGAAACAGGGGGAGAUUGUUGAAGAAGAGCUUUGAUGACUCCAAAUCUCCAUGGAUUGCUUUAAGGUUGAUUGUAGCUUAGUUGGGUGUAUUGUGGGGUAGUUUGAAUUUAUUAAUUAGGUCUUAGUUUGAAUCCAAAAGCUGGUUUAAUUCAAAUCUUUUUAAAAAAGUGUUUUAUGAAGAAAUAGAAAAACAACCAGUUGUUUUAUCGUUUCAAUCAGUUGUUUCAUACUUAAUGUUUUUGAAAUUGGUUUUGCCAGAUUUGAACUUAGUUGACUUUGCUCUCAAACCAAUUCAAUCGGUUGUUUUGACAAAACAACCGACUAUUUUUUAACUGCCUUAACAAAUUUCUAUUAAGUUUGUUAAAUCUGUUUUAAAUGAUUUGAAUUUGAUUUGGCUUUUAUAAUAAUUGUUUUUAACUGCUAAUUGGAGUAGAAAUGUUCUGUUAUACGCUCCUAGCAGACAAGGUUACAAGAUCAGUUUUUGAAAUCAAGUUUUCUCCAAGAUUGCUUAAGGCUUUGGAUAUUUCUCUAAGAGUGAAGUAGGACUUGUUAUGUACUUUGAUUUGAUUUGUACCGAGUGUGAUCAAUCCUAUUUCUUCUUGAUUUGUACUUUUGUAAAACAAUUGUUCACAGAGUCAGAGGGUGUUCUGAACUGUGGUGUGAUUGUGGUGUGCCAAAGGAAUUGUGUGUUCUUGAGGGGAUCAAGAUCACUUUUUUGGUGGUUGUGUGUUUGUAAUCUGGUUUUUGAUUACUUAGUGGAUACCCAGAGGUUUCUAGGAACUAGAUGUAGCUCUUUGUAUAAGAGUGAACCAGUAUAAAAUAUUGUUUGUGUGAUUCUUUCUCUCCCUUAUCUCUUGUAUAUCUAUUUUUAGUUGUUUUUACACUCUGCUGAUAAAAACAAUCAAUUGAAUCGCAAAAACAAUCGGUUGAAUUUCUGAAAAUCAACUAAAACUCUUUUCUAUCUUGUGUUCUUUGAUUCCUUUGGUUGUAAUUCUUCUUUGACUUUCUUCAUACCUUCAAAACUUUCGAAAAACGUUUGAAAACAUUUCACCCUCUCUUGUUUAAGGCCUACAAUUCUAACACUAGUUUCUAGAAAAACAAGCCUAGGGUGCGGGUUUGACUUAGUAAAACCCUAAGGCUGCCCUUUUUUUAGUGUUUCUCAUCCUACCUUUCAUGCUUGUUCUCCAAGGCUCCUUCACCUAUAAAUAGGAGACCUACAUCAUUUUAUUUUACAAGUUGAAUUUGAAUAAAGUAAAGAAACUCUGCACAAAUUGUGUGAGCUCUUAGUGAAGCUUAUGUCCUCUUAGGUUUGAGGUCUUAUCUUGAGUUAUUGGGAAGCUCUCAAGUGACGGCCAACACACUCAUCUUGGAGCACAUCACCCUCCAAGUGGCGUGACAUUUCUCACCCACCAUCAUAAGUUUUCUUAUUCCAUUUUCCUUCCAUUUCUCGAUUCCAUUUUAUGUGUUUGUCUCUUAGUUUCUCUUCUUUGUUGCUCUUGGGUUUCACUCAUAAUCAUGAGUAUGGUGCAUCAUUUGGGAGGCCAUGACCACCAUUGAUGUUAACCUUGUGCCCAUUUUCAAUUCCGCAAUUGCAUCUCAUCCUCACCAUAUCUUGUUUUUCAUCUUUUUCCCUGUGAAGUGAACCUUCACACUUACUUAACCACUUGAUUAAGUUUGUGUCUAGUGGCAAUCUUCCUUAGGUCCUCACCAUUAAUUGUUAAAAUCCCAACCUUAAGUAAAAGUGUCACCAUAAAUGAAAACAUCUAAAAUAAACUCAUAUCACUUAAUGAGUCUUCCGAAAGAGAAUAAAUACAUAUGUUAUCACUAAUUGAAAAGAAGUCAAAAGGGUAUUGGAAACUAAAAGGAAAUUAAGGUAUCGUGAAACAAAUGGAUUUAUGUGGCCCAAAUUUGAUUAAUGAGUCUUUUGGAAGACGAAAGAUUCAUAUGCAAUCAUUAUGAUUGACCCGAAAUAAAGGGUACUUAGGGUUGAAAGGAAAUCAAGGUAUUAUGAGGCAAAUGAAUAUAUGUCAGGUCAGUACGAUUGAAAUGAAAUCAAACUACAGUGGAUUGAAAUAAAAUCGAAUUAUUGUGAUUGAUAUUUGGAUUUUGUAUGACUGUGUUUCAAGAAAAAGGGAACAAAAUUAAUUAUGAAUUACUAAUCAAAUUAGUUAUUUUGCUUAUAUUUUUGCGUGUAAAAACAUUAUUUUGAUAGCUUACCCUUACAUGUGUUGUUUGUGUAUGAACUACCACUGCUGCAGAAAAGCAAAACGAGUGCGACUAUUUUACAUUUAUAAGGGCGGCUAUAUAACCACAUUUGAUGAGCACGCAUUUGUAAAUCAAAGAGAUAAGAAGACGGCUAUAUAGCCACAUUCGAAAAUUCGAUUUAUAAAUGUGGCUAUUUACAUAGCCGUAUUUAUAAAUCGCAUUUACGAGAAGCGUUUAAGGUUUCUUUCCUCGUCGUUAUUGAUUGGGUUUCUAAUCAAAGUUCUUUUCCGAAGAACAUUGUCAUUAUUUUUAGCAUUUCUUUCAAUCUCUUGGUGCAUUUAUAUUAUAUCUCUUUGUAUUUCAUCCCAAUGGAAGUCCAAAAAACAAAAAUAAAAAUUCUCCAAUNNNNNNNNNNNNNNNNNNNNNNNNNNNNNNNNNNNNNNNNNNNNNNNNNNNNNNNNNNNNNNNNNNNNNNNNNNNNNNNNNNNNCCUUAACAAUGGCAUAAGAAAACAUAAGAGAAACGCAAAACAUAUAAAAAUCAAUGGUGAAGAAGAAGAGAGGAAGACAAUGCUUACCGAUAGCACGAAAACAAUGCAAAGAAGAGAGGAAGAAAAGAAUGGAGGAAGCACAUAAGAGAAACGAAACGCGAGGGUAAGAAGAGUAUCAAAAUGUAAGUGGUGCGUUUUGAAUUAGGUUAAAAAGGUUUUAAGAAGGCGGCUAUUUAUAAAGCCGCAUUCGUAAAUCAAAAGUUUUUAUUUACAAGGGCGGCUAUACAAAUAGUCGCCCUUGUAAAUCAAGCGUUUUGAUUUACAAGGACGGCUAUACAAAUAGCCGCCCUCGUAAAUAAGGGCGGCUGUACAAAUAGCCGCCCCUUGUAAAUCCAAACGCUUGAUUUACAAGGCUUUACUAAUAACCGCACUUGUAAAUGAACUUAAUUACAAAAAUGUCACCGCGUUUUUAACGGAGUGGUUGAGCGCAAAGCCGCACUAAAUAAACCACACCUGUUUAUACAUUUUGCACUAGUGUACUAUGAUUGUACUAUGUACAAAAACAGAUGAUCAUACAGGUGCAAGAGAGUAUGAAAGGUUUUAGAUUAUUUUGAACUAUGAAUUUGUAAAUAUAUUUAUAUUUUUAUAAGUCUUAAUCAUGUAUUAAAAAUAUUUUAAAAAAUUCCAAACUUAUAAUGUAAAGAACUUGUAUUAUAAUAAUUAAAUAUAUUUUUGAGUUCAUCUCACCCGUUCACAAAAUAUAUAUAUAUAUGAAUGUCAAGCCGCCAUUCACUGUUAACAUUUAAAGGUUAUUAUUAUUUUAUUUUAACUUUGAUUAUAUACUUCCUUUUCCUAAGUAAUAGAGAAAAACCUGUUUUUAACUUAUCCAACUUCCAAAAAAGAUAAGUAAAGAAAUAUUUCGAACAUCUUUAAAUAAAACUAUAAAGAUUUUAUAAAUUAAAAUGAGAUUAUAGAAACUAAAAUUUUAAAAAUAGUAUUUAAAUAAAUUUUAUAAAUUAAUUCGUAAAUAAAUUAAUGCUAGUCCUAAUUUAUAAAAGAAAUCAUUUUGUUUUAUUUAUAUUUUAAAAUCUUCUAUGAAAGUUCAUUAUUGUAAAUAACAGAAAAAUGAAUGAAAAAAAAGGAUAAUGAUCUAUAUGAAAUAUUUUUUAGAAUAAUGUUAAAGUAUAUUUAUUGUGUCAACAUAUUCUAGAUAGAAGCCUAACAUUUAAUAUCAUGAUAAGUUCCUUUCCUAUAUAUCUUGGUACAAUGUUGACUUUUUACACCAUCAAAAUACAAAUCCACCAAACUUCUUACAGAUUCGAUUCAUUAGUUUCUUGUAGUUUCUACAUACAUUUCUCAUCAGCGACAACUUCGUUGUUGUUUACUUUUCAACUCCUCACAGCUAUAUAUAUGUGUGUUUAAUAAACACAAACCACUCAUCACACACAUAUACAAGUGAAUAUUCACUAACUAUAAGCCAUGGAGAAGAAAUCAUUUGCUGGAUUAUGCUUCCUCUUCCUUGUUCUCUUUGUUGCUCGUGAGUCACUACAAUUAUGUUUAUUUUUCUGCAUGUCUAUAACUUUAAUCAUUCUCCUUCCAUCCUAUAACUGUGUAUUUACAUACUCAGUGUAACUUUUAGUUUUCUACAAGAUUAAAGUACUGUUU
RNAcentral lists this long non-coding RNA (7015 nucleotides) under Phaseolus vulgaris (common bean). RNAcentral's name for it is "long non-coding RNA (PVUL_LNC002964)". Lineage: Eukaryota; Viridiplantae; Streptophyta; Magnoliopsida; Fabales; Fabaceae. The record is from RNAcentral.